AGCUUUGCGCAGUGGCAGUAUUGUAGCCAAUGAGGUUUAUUUGAGGCGCAAUUAUUGCUAAUUGAAAAUUAUUGCUAAUUGA
This 82-nucleotide small nuclear RNA is filed under the name Tupaia belangeri (northern tree shrew). RNAcentral's name for it is "U4 spliceosomal RNA (ENSTBEG00000018413.1)". It matches the Rfam family "U4 spliceosomal RNA", at positions 1 to 82 of the family's 138-position model. From Rfam's summary of the family: U4 small nuclear RNA (U4 snRNA) is a component of the major U2-dependent spliceosome. The record is from RNAcentral. Lineage: Eukaryota; Metazoa; Chordata; Mammalia; Scandentia; Tupaiidae.